This 422-nucleotide ribosomal RNA is filed under the name uncultured eukaryote. RNAcentral's name for it is "partial 18S ribosomal RNA". It matches the Rfam family "Eukaryotic small subunit ribosomal RNA", at positions 592 to 976 of the family's 1831-position model. The record is from RNAcentral.
CAAUAGCGUAUAUUAAUUUUGUUGCAGUUAAAAAGCUCGUAGUCGGAUUUCUUUUGUUUUAUAAGUAUCGGGUACUAAGCCUUUGUGCACAGUUACCUCUCUUAUGAUUCAAAAUAAAUUGGGUAAUUCGUAUAGGAGGAGUCUCUGGGUAUUAAUUUACUAGUAGGGCGAUCCCUAUGCAUAUGUGUUAUCCAUCAUUUACUGUGAAAAAAUCAAAGCGUUCAAAGCAGGCUCUAAGCUCUCUGAAUGUCUCAGCAUGGAAUAAUAAGAUAAGUUUCAUCUUCAUUUUGUUGGUUUGCAAAGAAGAAAAAUGAUUAACAGGGACAGUUGGGGGUAUUCGUAUUAGAUUGUCAGAGGUGAAAUUCUUGGAUUUAUUUAAGACGAACAACAGCGAAAGCAUUUACCAAGGAUGUUUUCAUUAA